This 191-nucleotide small nuclear RNA is filed under the name Oryza sativa Indica Group (long-grained rice). RNAcentral describes it as "U2 spliceosomal RNA". The record is from RNAcentral. Lineage: Eukaryota; Viridiplantae; Streptophyta; Magnoliopsida; Poales; Poaceae. RNAcentral also lists the same sequence under 1 other name.
AUUGGUCAUGGCAAAAUUUAGUAUUAUCAAAUUUUGGUAGGUUUAUUUUCGAUUUUGCUAUAUCUCACUCGAAAGAUUUUUUCUUAUCUCUCACUCGAUUUUCUCACUUAAAUUUACAGUGCAUUUUCUUGUAAGUUACAGUGUAAUUUAUGAAACUUACAUUGUAAUUUGUAAGUUACAGUGUAAUUUUU